AGCCCAUGGAAAUGGAAAAGUCUUAACAGGUCCUUGAAACGUCCCCAUGCGUCAAACAAGGAUUCCCCAUCUUCUUGCCUAAAAUUAUUUAUCUCAUUCCUAACU
Lathyrus oleraceus (garden pea) is the source of this 105-nucleotide small nucleolar RNA. NCBI's taxonomy places the organism in Eukaryota, Viridiplantae, Streptophyta, Magnoliopsida, Fabales, Fabaceae. The record is from RefSeq and is a predicted model, not a curated record.